GUGGGGAAUCUUGCGCAAUGGGCGAAAGCCUGACGCAGCCAUGCCGCGUGAAUGAUGAAGGUCUUAGGAUUGUAAAAUUCUUUCACCGGGGACGAUAAUGACGGUACCCGGAGAAGAAGCUCCGGCUAACUUCGUGCCAACAGCCGCGGUAAUACGAAGGGGGCUAGCGUUGCUCGGAAUUACUGGGCGUAAAGGGCGCGUAGGCGGACAGUUUAGUCAGAGGUGAAAGCCCAGGGCUCAACCUUGGAAUUGCCUUUGAUACUGGCUGUCUUGAGUACGGGAGAGGUGAGUGGAACUCCGAGUGUAGAGGUGAAAUUCGUAGAUAUUCGGAAGAACACCAGUGGCGAAGGCGACUCACUGGCCCGUUACUGACGCUGAGGCGCGAAAGCGUGGGGAGCAAACAGGAUUAGAUGCCCCGGUAGUCC
RNAcentral lists this ribosomal RNA (425 nucleotides) under uncultured bacterium. RNAcentral's name for it is "partial 16S ribosomal RNA". It matches the Rfam family "Bacterial small subunit ribosomal RNA", at positions 354 to 796 of the family's 1533-position model. The record is from RNAcentral.